Molecule: non-coding RNA, 82 nt
Organism: Aedes albopictus (Asian tiger mosquito)
Lineage: Eukaryota; Metazoa; Arthropoda; Insecta; Diptera; Culicidae
Source: Rfam
GCUGAGGUGUCCGAGCGGUUAAGGAGAUGGACUUGAAAUCCAUUGGGUUAUACCCGCGCAGGUUCGAAUCCUGUCCUCAGCG